Long non-coding RNA from Lethenteron reissneri (Far Eastern brook lamprey), 2315 nucleotides. RefSeq lists it as uncharacterized. The record is from RefSeq and is a predicted model, not a curated record. NCBI's taxonomy places the organism in Eukaryota, Metazoa, Chordata, Hyperoartia, Petromyzontiformes, Petromyzontidae.
GCUCAAGUUCGUGGCAGCACCGCCAGCCACAGCAGAGGAGGAGGAGGCCUCUCACAGGGCACUGGGGGCCACUGCUGCUGCUGCUGUCACACCACGAGCCGCGCAGCAACAUUGGAGCGACGCGUACUCCAGGCCGCGAGAGCUCACACCAUCUGGUAAAGAAGAGCCGACCUCGCGAGUUGCCUAACGGUGGUGCUGCUUGCAAUGGAUGCCUCUCCCCAUCAACCCACGAGUGUGCUGGCCCUGGCGGGGGGAAAUGCUGGACAGCUGCCAGACACUGCAAAAGCAACAGCUGGAGAAGCAUCAAUCGCAAACAAACACAAGACCCAUAUCAAAGCCGAUCAUCGUUCAUAUUUUGGGAUUUUUUAUGAAAUGAUGCUUUAUAUCUUCUACAAAGAAAAUCCGGCUGGGGAUAUUGAGUCCAGACCCAUUACACAGGAUGCAAGAUAUGCCGCAAGGUGCCAAUGCAUUGUGACUGUGCUCAAACAGGACGUCGCCCUUCACAGUGUGACAGAAUACAAGUGCAAGACUGUCCUGCAGAAGAUGAAGGAUUACUUUUUCAUGCCAUCUAUGUUUCGGAUUGUGUUGGUGGAACCAAGACGAUGGCUCAGAGUCGUGCUGCUCAUCUUCCUGGCCGUGUGCCUGCUACAGCUUUGGCCAGUGCUGCUUCUCUUCAGCCCACUCGCGAUAUGCGUAUUUAUGUUGCAGGCGUACUGCGGCAUCUGUGCAUGGGACAAGGUUGAUGGAGAGAGACACGAUGCGAUGCAUUCCCACAUGCGUCCUGCAAAUGUACUCCCUGCUUGACUGAGCGUCCCUUUAAGUGUGCAUUUAGGAAAGGGCCACGGUUUGACACACUGUGCCUACAUGUCGCCUUAGCCAUAACACUGCAACAUGUGUUCAAAUUUACCAGUGCAUGCUUCUGCCUUUACAUGCCAAAUAGAAAACACGUGUAUUCAUUUGAAAGACUUAUUAACACAAAACUCCUGUAUAAUAAUUGAGGUGAUUUAGAGUAUCGUACUAACAUUUUUUUAAAUCAAUGUUGGAAGUGAAUGUAACAAAUAUGCAAAAAAACAAAUGUCUUUAAUGAGCAAAUAAUGUAGAUUUUAUAUUGCAGUCUUGUUUUAUGUUGACAAAAGCCUACUGUGAAUAACGCAAACAUCUUAUGGUAAGUGCACUAAAUAAACCUAGACAACAUAUGGCACACUCAAUGGACAGAAUCCCCAAACACAAUAUUAUCUCAUAGGUAGCACCUGAACUUAAUAUUUAAAAUCACCUGGUCACUAUAUUUGAGGCUAAUUUCUAUUGUUUUCACACUACAUUAAGUGCAACCUUUUUACUACAAACCAUGAAAAUCAUGAAACCACUUUUAAUAAUGAAUAACUUCCUGUAAUAAUCUCGAAAUACUAUCAUGAGUCAUGUCAUGUCUUUUAGAAUCACUUUUUUAAAAUAUAUAAUUGUUGAAGAAUGAAAUGAUUGAAUUUCUGCCCUUUGUCAAUCUACUGCUAAAUGAAGGCUUCACACUGUUUCAAUCUUGGGGUUGUUUGACCUUACUUCACUGUGCUGGUCGGUGUCAGUUUGUGAAGUGGGGGGAACAAGACAGGUUCAGCUUUGAACCUAUGAAUAACCUACGCUAAAUAAUCUAGCAGAGCAGACCAAACCUAUUUGUGUCAUACCACGCUGAGCAUUGAACUUUACUAAAUGGUGUAUGGGAUCAGUUCAGCAAGUCACUCAGACAGCCAUCAUAUCUACAUUUCACUGUAUAAUUAGUCAAUCAAAUUCAAUUACGUUCCAUGCAUUUAACCUCAUUUUAACCAAGCUGUUGGAAUGAAACUUUUAAACCAAUCUUCCUCUGAAGGGUAGUAGAUUUUACUGAAACCAUGGAUUAAAGCAUCUCAUUGUACAUAAAGGGAUAACACAUUGCUGGGUUAUAUAUUUAACUUCAUAUAAUGUCAUUAAUGGGUUUCAAUCCUGCGCUAAUGACAAGUACAUCACACUCUGUACUAUUGUUGGUCAUUAAGACUUGUAGCAAAACUCAACCAUAUGUAGUAUACAACAUAUGUUAUCGAAAACACAUGUUUACAUACGAACACGUAUCAAUGGAAAGAUGCAUCGUGGCACCUUCCAUAAAAAAUAAACCUCUCUUUAAUAAAAUUAUAUAUUCCAGUUAUUUUACAACACGUACAAUUCUGUAAAGGGUUGCUAUUGUAUGCGUAUCUUAUAUCAAUUGCAGACACUGUGUUUGCUUCUAUUGCCUUCAUGUCAGUCGCUAAUACUCAACACACAUUGAAUAUUGUGAUUAAAGAGUGUGAAGUUAC